Molecule: ribosomal RNA, 398 nt
Filed under: uncultured bacterium
Lineage: Bacteria
Description: partial 16S ribosomal RNA
Rfam family: Bacterial small subunit ribosomal RNA
Source: RNAcentral
CCUACGGGAGGCAGCAGUGAGGAAUAUUGGUCAAUGGACGAGAGUCUGAACCAGCCAAGCCGCGUGAAGGAUGAAGGUCCAACGGGUUGUAAACUUCUUUUAUCUGGGAAUAAAAUCUUCCACGCGUGCGCUUCUGUAUGUACCUUAUGAAUAAGCAUCGGCUAACUCCGUGCCAGCAGCCGCGGUAAUACGGAGGAUGCGAGCGUUAUCCGGAUUUAUUGGGUUUAAAGGGUGCGUAGGCGGGCUGUUAAGUCAGGUGUGAAAGCUUGGGGCUCAACCCUGGGAUUGCAGUUGAAACUGGCAGUCUGGAGUGGGGGAGAGGUAGGCGGAAUUCGUGGUGUAGCGGUGAAAUGCUUAGAUAUCGCGAAGAACUCCGAUUGCGAAGGCAGCACACUGGA